Molecule: transfer RNA, 75 nt
Filed under: candidate division MSBL1 archaeon SCGC-AAA259I07
Lineage: Archaea; Methanobacteriati; Methanobacteriota
Description: candidate divison MSBL1 archaeon SCGC-AAA259I07 tRNA
Rfam family: tRNA
About the family: Transfer RNA (tRNA) molecules are approximately 80 nucleotides in length. Their secondary structure includes four short double-helical elements and three loops (D, anti-codon, and T loops).
Source: Rfam by way of RNAcentral
GGGAGUCUAGCUCAAAGCUAGCCCAAAAGCGCCGCACUGAAGAUGCGGUUGUCGAGGGUUCAAAUCCCUCUCCCC